ACCACCUGCUCGUGGCGUCCCAGCAGCCGCCUUUGCUGCGCCUCCGCGCGGUUGGCACCCAGCAGGCUCAGCAGCCCCUGGCUCACCUCCUCCAUGUCGCGGAAGGCCGCCAUGACUACGCCAGGACCUUUCCCGCGCAAGUUUAACUGCCCUCAGGGCCCGCCUCUCUCCCCAGGAGCCUCAUUCCCAUUGGUUUGCUCCUCCAUCAGUCAUCAGGAAUGGGCGGGCGGUAGCCUCUGGCCUCGUCUAGUGCGCCUGCGCCGGCUCCUCCUCCGUCUCCGGCAAUGGCCAAUCGGCGCAGGGAGGUGGGGCUUGUGUGCCUGCGGGAGUCCUGCGUGACGCGCCUGCGCAGGCUGGAAAGCAUCUGGCGGCUCCUGAGGCUGUUUGUCUGUUUAGCUGUAGCUGCACCAGGGGCGCGGUGCCAGGGGCGAAGCGUUGGACCGCCUCUCGUGGGCUGACGUUCUAUAGGGUGUGCGUGGGAUGCUCGCAAUCAGCGUAAUAAAUAAAUAAGUAAAUUCCGUAAGGAUGCACAGCAAGCUGGAGCAUGCAGCCAGAUAUAUGGGGUCCGAAUCCCACUUCCUAGCUUCCUUAUCCUGGGCAAGUGACUUCACCCCUCUGUGCCUCACUUUCCUCGUCAGUAAAAUGAGGGUCAUAAUAGUACCUACGUAGGGGUCGGCGUGAGGAUUAAGUGAGGACGGUGCUGAGUAUUCAGGGAGCACUAUAUUAAGGCGUUCAAGAAAACAUACAUGGAACCCUAGCAGGUGCGGCACCUACCCUAACGGGCACCAGACACCAUGCUGUGUGAAGGGUCAUAGGAGAGAAAAGACAAAAUGCGCAUUUAUAUGACAAAUUUCUCAAACUGAGUUUUGGGGAUACUCUUACUCAGAGCCCAGCUGCCAUGUUGUGAGGAAUCCGAGGUGAUGUAAAGAAUCUCCCAGAGGAGGUUGCAGCAGAAGCCAGCAUCAACCACCAGACCAGUGAGUGAGCACAGAAGUGAUUUUAGUCGCCACCCUUCGAGCCAUCACAUCUGACAGCAGGAGGAGCAGAGAUGAGCUGUCCCCACCAAGCCCUGCUGAAACUGCAGAUCUGGAGACAGAUCACCAAGGGAAAGGGAGACAAGCAGGCUCCCUACUGAACAAGGAGACUGAUAUGGGGCUCAAUUCCAGGACCCCAAGAUCAUGACCCGAUGGAAGAUGCUUAACCAACUGAGCCACCAAGGUGCCCUCAUUUCUGUAUUUUUAGAAUUUUGCCUUUUGCAAUCACUAUGAAGUAUUUUAUCAUGAGGGAAAAAAAUAUCAGUAAAGAUCUUUUUCUGUGGUGUUCACAGUGGGUGUUCAUUAAAACUUUCUGCAGGGGCGCCUGGGUGAUGCAGUCAGUUGAACGUUUGACUCUUGGUUUCAGCUCAGGUUCUGGUCUUGGAGUCAUAGCAUCGAGCCCCAUGUUGGGCUCUGUGCUCAGUG
Long non-coding RNA from Canis lupus familiaris (dog), 1460 nucleotides. RefSeq lists it as uncharacterized. The transcript has 3 exons. NCBI's taxonomy places the organism in Eukaryota, Metazoa, Chordata, Mammalia, Carnivora, Canidae. The record is from RefSeq and is a predicted model, not a curated record.